Molecule: small nuclear RNA, 108 nt
Organism: Mustela putorius furo (domestic ferret)
Lineage: Eukaryota; Metazoa; Chordata; Mammalia; Carnivora; Mustelidae
Source: Ensembl
GUGCUCGUUUCGGCAGCACAUAUACAAAAAUUGGAACGAUACAGAGAAGAUUAGCCUGGCCCCUGCGCAAGAAUGACACACAAAAUUCGUGAAGUGUUCCUUAUUUUU